Molecule: ribosomal RNA, 510 nt
Filed under: uncultured bacterium
Lineage: Bacteria
Description: partial 16S ribosomal RNA
Rfam family: Bacterial small subunit ribosomal RNA
Source: RNAcentral
GACGAACGCUGGCGGCGUGCUUAACACAUGCCAGUCGAACGAAGAGCGACGGAAGCUUGCUUCUAUCAAUCUUAGUGGCGAACGGGUGAGUAACGCGUAAUCAACCUGCCCUUCAGUGGGGGACAACAGUUGGAAACGACUGCUCAUACCGCAUACGAUCUAACCUCGGCAUCGAGGAUAGAUGAAAGGUGGCCUCUACAUGUAAGCUAUCACUGAAGGAGGGGAUUGCGUCUGAUUAGCUAGUUGGAGGGGUAACGGCCCACCAAGGCGAUGAUCAGUAGCCGGUCUGAGAAGAUGAACGGCCAACUUGGGAAUGAGACACGGCCCAGACUCCCACGGGAGGCAGCAGUGGGGAAUCUUCCGCAAUGGACGAAAGGCUGACGGAACAACGCCGCGGGAGUGAUGACGGCCUUCGGGUUGGAAAGCUCUGUUAAUCGGGACGAAAGGCCUUCUUGCGAAUAGUGAGAAGGAUUGACGGUACCGGAAGAGAAAGCCACGGCUAACUACGUG